Long non-coding RNA from Mauremys reevesii (Reeves's turtle), 434 nucleotides. RefSeq lists it as uncharacterized. The record is from RefSeq and is a predicted model, not a curated record. The transcript is spliced from 4 exons. Lineage: Eukaryota; Metazoa; Chordata; Testudines; Geoemydidae.
UUGUCGAACAGCUGUCUUACCUCAUCCCUGAGAUGGCAGCAUUUUGGGUGUGGGUAAAUGAUUCUUCAAGGGAUUCUUCAUACUGCAGGUGCCAUGGCCAGAGGAAAAUGUAGAUCAUGCGUCCAUUUAUAAUCUGGAACUCGCUGCUCCCAACCUUCUCUUUAAAUUUCACCUUAAACUUCUUGUCUUCUGUCAAUGAUGCUUGACUUCUUGGUGAAGCAUAUGUGAUGCUGUGGGUGAAAAUUAAUGGGGCCAGGAUUUUUACCAGGACAAAAGGGGCUAUCGCUGCUGUAACAAGACCGAGUGAUAUAAGCAGUCCUACAAGACUGAAGAAAGGAAUAUAUCACCAUAUGUAGAAAGGGAAAAAUCUCUUAGACUGGAAAGCUCCAAGAGGUAAUACGUAUAAUGCCCCAAGAGCUCAUGCAAAUCCAUAG